AGUGAACGCUGGCGGUAGGCCUAACACAUGCAAGUCGAACGGCAGCACAGUAAGAGCUUGCUCUUACGGGUGGCGAGUGGCGGACGGGUGAGGAAUACAUCGGAAUCUACUUUUUCGUGGGGGAUAACGUAGGGAAACUUACGCUAAUACCGCAUACGACCUACGGGUGAAAGCAGGGGAUCUUCGGACCUUGCGCGAUUGAAUGAGCCGAUGUCGGAUUAGCUAGUUGGCGGGGUAAAGGCCCACCAAGGCGACGAUCCGUAGCUGGUAUGAGAGGAAGAUCCACCCCAACGGAACAAGAGCACGGUUCCGAGGUCUAAGGGAGGCAGCAGUGGGGAAUAUUAGACAAUGGGCGGAAAUCUUGUCCAACCCAAACCAGUGGGAUGAGGCGGCCUUCGGGUUCUAAAGCCGUUUUGUUGGGAAAGAAAAGCAGCAGGUUAAUACCCCGCUGUUCUGACGGUACCCAAAGAAUAAGCACCGGCUAACUUCGUG
This 492-nucleotide ribosomal RNA is filed under the name uncultured bacterium. Its description in RNAcentral is "partial 16S ribosomal RNA". It matches the Rfam family "Bacterial small subunit ribosomal RNA", at positions 29 to 507 of the family's 1533-position model. The record is from RNAcentral.